UUCUUUGAUUCAGUUCAUCCUACAGACAGGGCCUACCAGCAGAUAGCUGAGCUAAUUUGGAGUGGAACUCGCAACAUUACAGGACCCUACAAUUUGAAAGCACUAUUUGUUUGAUUGAGCUUAUAUGUUCAAAUGCCUAAUAAAUGAGUUCAACAUGUGCAUAAUAAAUGAGUUCAACAUGUGCAUAAUGAAUGAGCUCAACAUGUCAAGUGCUGUACUAUUCUAUUUUACGACUCAGAAAAUUACUUUUGCCAAUAAAAAUUGAAGUCUUAAUGUAAAGAGAACUUCACGGCUGAACAAAACCCUACCUAUGGUUUUCAAAGCCAUCAUCAGAUAUAAAGUUCAAGAGGAAUGGUCUUGGUAAACAUCUUAUUCCCCAAGUCCCAUUACAAUUUUCAGUAUGAAAUGCAGGAAUUUUUUAAUAUUAGUCCAUAUCAGUAGUUGAAUGGUAAUAAGAUGUUGACCAUUUGAUAUCAUACUAAUCAAAAUCUUUAUCACAUGGCUGUAUAUAAAAGUUGGAACAAAGAGAAAGAUUACAG
RNAcentral lists this long non-coding RNA (539 nucleotides) under Vitis vinifera (wine grape). Its description in RNAcentral is "long non-coding RNA (VVIN_LNC002706)". Lineage: Eukaryota; Viridiplantae; Streptophyta; Magnoliopsida; Vitales; Vitaceae. The record is from RNAcentral.